AACGAACGCUGGCGGCAUGCCUAACACAUGCAAGUCGAACGAGAUCUUCGGGUCUAGUGGCGCACGGGUGCGUAACGCGUGGGAAUCUGCCCUUUGGUUCGGAAUAACAGUUGGAAACGACUGCUAAUACCGGAUGAUGACGAAAGUCCAAAGAUUUAUCGCCAGAGGAUGAGCCCGCGAUAGGAUUAGCUAGUUGGUGUGGUAAAGGCGCACCAAGGCGACGAUACUUAGCUGGUCUGAGAGGAUGAUCCGCCAAACUGGGACUGAGACACGGCCCAGACUCCUACGGGAGGCAGCAGUGGGGAAUAGUGGACAAUGGGCGAAAGCCUGAUUCAGCAAUGCCGCGUGAGUGAUGAAGGCCUUAGUGUUGUAAAGCUCUUUCGUCGAGUGCGCGAUCAUGACAGGACUCGAGGAAGAAGCCCCGGCGAACUCCGUGCCAGCAGCCGCCGCCG
This 452-nucleotide ribosomal RNA is filed under the name uncultured bacterium. Its description in RNAcentral is "partial 16S ribosomal RNA". It matches the Rfam family "Bacterial small subunit ribosomal RNA", at positions 29 to 523 of the family's 1533-position model. The record is from RNAcentral.